This 548-nucleotide ribosomal RNA is filed under the name uncultured Glomus. RNAcentral's name for it is "SSU rRNA". It matches the Rfam family "Eukaryotic small subunit ribosomal RNA", at positions 549 to 1098 of the family's 1831-position model. The record is from RNAcentral. Lineage: Eukaryota; Fungi; Glomeromycota; Glomeromycetes; Glomerales; Glomeraceae.
UGGAGGGCAAGUCUGGUGCCAGCAGCCGCGGUAAUUCCAGCUCCAAUAGCGUAUAUUAAAGUUGUUGCAGUUAAAAAGCUCGUAGUUGAAUUUUGGGUCUGGCCGGGCGGUCCGCCCUCUGGGUGAGCACUGUUCCGACGUCGGGCCUAUCCUUCUGGUGAGUCGGCAUGUCCUUUAUUGGGUGUGUCGGGGAACCAGGACCAUUACCUCGAAAAAAUUAGAGUGUUCAAAGCAGGCGUAUGCUCGGAUACAUUAGCAUGGAAUAAUGAAAUAGGACGCGUGGUGCUAUUUUGUUGGUUUCUAGAACCGCCGUAAUGAUUAAUAGGGAUAGUUGGGGGCAUUAGUAUUCAAUUGUCAGAGGUGAAAUUCUUGGAUUUAUUGAAGACUAACUUCUGCGAAAGCAUUUGCCAAGGAUGUUUUCAUUAAUCAAGAACGAAAGUUAGGGGAUCGAAGACGAUCAGAUACCGUCGUAGUCUUAACCAUAAACUAUGCCGACUAGGAAUCGGGCGAUGUUAUUCUCAUGACUCGCCCGGCGCCUUAUGGGAAAC